CACAUAUCAGUCAUAGUGAAGGAGGCAUGGACUACGUACCUAUAAGACUUAGUGAAGGAGGUGUGGCUUGUGUUCUUGUCAGAGAUAGUGAAGGAGGCGUGGCCUGUGUGCUUGUCAGUCUCAGCGAAGGAGGCGUGGCCUGUGUGCUUAUCAAUUGCAGUGAAGGAUGUGUGGCCUAUGUACCUGUAAGACAUAAUGAAUGAGGCAAGGCUUUAAUUUGUUUGAUGUAGCUGAUUUGUGUUUUCUGAACUGUACUGUAGAGUCGACCACCAUAUGCAUCUCACAUAAAAGGGUGUGUGUGUGUGUGUGUGUGUGUGUGUGUGUGUGUGUGUGUGGGUGGAUCACCGUGUCAUGUGAAAGUAAAGCAGCGAUUUCAUGGUAAUUAUUUUUUCCCUCGUCGCUGUAACACUUGUCUGCUGCGGAUAAGUUAAUUAAUUACCACUGGAGUUUAGUGACAGUGUAUGAAGAUGCUGCUGAAACGAGAUUCACACCUCCGUCUCUCUUCCUCCAUCCAUUUCUCUGUCUGUCUGUCUCUCUCUCACCUUCUCCUUCUCCUUUUUCCCCACUGCCUCGGCUCCGAGCCCUACAUAAAGGCAGGCAGCAUGUAGAAGAGUUAAAACAGAGAAACGGCAGAUAAAUGCCCAUUGUCACUCGAGCUGUUUAUUUACUCAUCGGACCCACGCUCGUUUAACGUCGCUAAUUGCAUCCUUUCAUUGUGAAGCCGCCAUUUUUCUUUCUUGCAUCCCUGAUCACAUCUUUUUUUUUCCUCCUCUGCUUCAAAAGACUCCAGCAGGGAAUAUUUACAUUACUGUCCUUUGCAUUUCUGAAAAAUAAAAAAAUGUUUGUGAAAAUGUAGGAGAAGAAAUAUAUAGUGACUGCAUGGGGUCUUGGAGACUGCAGAAUCGCCUUAACUGGUCAUGUAGCAUCAUUUUAUCAGCUCAAUAUGCUAAAUAUUUUAGCAUAUUUUAUUUCAUAAAAGUAUAACUCUAUCACAAUGAAUUAAUUCCAGUCUGAAAAUUAGAAAUGACUUAUAUAAUUUUAGACACCACACUUGGACUGCCGUUGGUUGGGGGGGG
Ictalurus punctatus (channel catfish) is the source of this 1076-nucleotide long non-coding RNA. The record is from Ensembl. Lineage: Eukaryota; Metazoa; Chordata; Actinopteri; Siluriformes; Ictaluridae.